RNAcentral lists this ribosomal RNA (497 nucleotides) under uncultured bacterium. Its description in RNAcentral is "partial 16S ribosomal RNA". It matches the Rfam family "Bacterial small subunit ribosomal RNA", at positions 28 to 507 of the family's 1533-position model. The record is from RNAcentral.
GAUGAACGCUGGCGGCGUGCCUAAUACAUGCAAGUCGAGCGAACAGACGAGGAGCUUGCUCCUCUGACGUUAGCGGCGGACGGGUGAGUAACACGUGGAUAACCUACCUAUAAGACUGGGAUAACUUCGGGAAACCGGAGCUAAUACCGGAUAAUAUAUUGAACCGCAUGGUUCAAUAGUGAAAGACGGUUUUGCUGUCACUUAUAGAUGGAUCCGCGCCACAUUAGCUAGUUGGUAAGGUAACGGCUUACCAAGGCAACGAUGCGUAGCCGACCUGAGAGGGUGAUCGGCCACACUGGAACUGAGACACGGUCCAGACUCCUACGGGAGGCAGCAGUAGGGAAUCUUCCGCAAUGGGCGAAAGCCUGACGGAGCAACGCCGCGUGAGUGAUGAAGGUCUUCGGAUCGUAAAACUCUGUUAUUAGGGAAGAACAAAUGUGUAAGUAACUAUGCACGUCUUGACGGUACCCAAUCAGAAAGCCACGGCUAACUACGUG